Molecule: long non-coding RNA, 679 nt
Filed under: Rattus norvegicus (Norway rat)
Lineage: Eukaryota; Metazoa; Chordata; Mammalia; Rodentia; Muridae
Description: long non-coding RNA NONRATT011215
Source: RNAcentral
GGGGGCCAAGCUUGAGGACCUGUGUCUGAUCCCAAACCUCACAGUAGAAAAGAGAACUGUCAAGUUGUCCUUUGACCUCCACACAAGCCAGCACGCACUCCAUCACAAAUAAGUGUAAAAGAAGUUUUAAAUAUUUCUGAAGGGAAAAUAGCUCUGAGACACAUGAGUGCUACGUUUGUCUCCUAUCAAGGAGUGAAGGCUUGGCAUCUGUGCAUUUCUCUGAACUAUAAAUAAAUAAAUAAAUAAAUAAAUAAAUAAAUAAAUACCUAAUAUCCAUCUCAAUAACAAGCACACAGUAGGACCGAGGGAAGAGUGGGGCUAUCUGUAACUUACAUUGAAUUUUAGAGAAUGAGUGGAUGGUGAACAAGAGGACAGAUGAGGGAAGGCAGAAUCAACAUGUCAGUGGGAAAAAACAGCAGGAAAUAAUGGCGUUCAUUUUACAAUCUUCCAAAUUUCCUGAUGUUCAGAAUUCUGCUUAUAAGAUUGAGAGGGAAAAAAAUCCUGAAAAGAUUUCUCAUAUGUUCAUAUUUUGGAGAGCUGGUCAAUGACUAUGUAUUUAAAUAAAACAAUUCUCUUUGACAUAUAUAUAUGUAGAUAUAUAUAUAUAGAUAUAUAUAUGUAGAUAUAUAUGGUAUAUAUAAUGGGUGUUUUCACAAUAAAAGAAGUUUAAAAAUAACAA